Molecule: non-coding RNA, 1826 nt
Organism: Anas platyrhynchos (mallard)
Lineage: Eukaryota; Metazoa; Chordata; Aves; Anseriformes; Anatidae
Source: RefSeq, a predicted model, not a curated record
UGUCAGCCUCAGCAGCGCGCUGUGCUGUUUUGUAUGGCAUUGGGUUGGAGAUGGGUCAUGACUGUGAAAUUGUGGUCCAAGCUUCUGAACGUUCCCCAUCCUGUAGGUGCUACAGCAGCAAGGCAAAGCAAAUCCAGAGCAUGGUUUCUCUGCUGGGCUUGCUGAGCAGACAGCUGUGUAUCAGAAGUGGUUAAGCCUGAGCCUCGUUCAUCUGCCCCAGCUGGAGCCAGUUAGCUGGGGAGUGCCAGAGGCUGCCAGCUCCCCAGGAGGAGGUGAAAAGCAGGAGAAAGGUGGAGGCACAGGCUUGAGAGCUGUGGACUGAGAGGAAUUAUGCAAGGAAAAGCAUAAAACAGGGAGCAGAGGCUGCCAAAGCAGUUAUUUGCUGCAGGGAAAACGGGAGAAGGACUGUGGGCAGAAGCUGAGAAAUUGCCUUUGCUUUGAGAGAGCCCAGCUCAUUGCCCACAGCUGGCAGCAGCAAACCCAGCAACAUCACCCUCAGCUGUGAGCCCCAGCAACGUGCCCCUGCUCCUCCUUGCAGAGGGAAGGGCAGGAGCAGGGCAGAUGGAGGCUCUGGAGAAGAGCAAACAAAGCCCUAAGUGUUUGAUGGGGCCCUUUGCACCUUGAAGAGAGGUGUGGGAAAGGAGUAGAAGGAGCCAGGCAGAGAGCAGCCUGCGGCUCAAAUAGCUAAAAGCUUGGGGGGCCCUCACUCUUUGGUUGGAGCCUCUGGAGGAGCGCAGAGCAUGCUGCUGGGAGUGCCCUGCUCUGUCCUCUGCCCUGCAUGUCCUGACAGCGAAGGUUGCAGGCUUAGGGCCUUCAUGAGGGAUUACUUCCAGGAGAAUCAAGUGCUGGGCAUCACGGCCACAGCAGCAUCUCCUAUGGCAGAGCUCAGUCUUACACCUCUGUGACCUUCUGUGGCUCUGUCCCGUCCUGCCCCUUACACCUCGCUGUCGCUGCUGGUGCUCUUGUUGUCAUGCUAAAUUAAGGAAACCAUCGGACCCUUCAAAAUGUCCUCUUACCAUUUCAAGGAGGGGCUGGCUGGAGGUAACUUAAAGCAGAGAGAAGAGCCGUGGAGGAGAGCUUUGCGCAUUAAGAUCUCAAUGAAUUAUGCAUGCUGUGAGGCAGGCUGGUACUGGCGCUGCUGGCUUUAUGGGAGGAGGAGAGUGAUGGCAACAAUUCACCUCAGUCUCGAGCUGGGGCUUCUCAUGGCGAGGCAGUAAUUUGGGCUGAGAAGGAGCAACACAGCUUUUCCUUUGGGCCCCUGGGGGCUGAGAAAGGUUAUUUGGCAGCAAGGAGCAGAGGACCUGCUCGGCAGAGUGAGGAGAAAGGGAAGGGAAGGCAGGGAGCACGCAUCAGCUCCGUGAGCUGCUCGGCAGGGCUGUGCUGAGGAGUGGUGGAGAUGCUGACAAGCCCCAGUGGGUGCGCAUUAAACCCUGCCACUUAACGGGACAGGAAGGCUGACACCAAAAGCCUCUGCUGCCUUGGGCUCACUCUCCUGCGAAGCAAAGGUGGAAAGAAAAAGAGGAAGCAGCAGUUAAAGCAAAAAAUCUCGUUCAGGGUAAAGGUUGGCUGCAGGAAAAUAAAACUCUGCAGCUGUCUGAGAUGAGGUCCGUUCCCGCACGUGGCAGCUGACUUGUAGAGCUCCUGCAUGUCACAAGUAGGUAACUAGUUCAAGUGGUUUGCCAGGAAAUGAAGUGCCCUAGAAGUUUUCCAGGUCUUCGUGAAUCAACAGCAAAAAGAAAUUAGUUUCUGCGCUUGCUGGCGAGUUGCCACCACGUAUUUAUCAGACAGCUGCUGCUUUGGUAGUGGCACUAGUAGGAGCUUGGGUA